RNAcentral lists this ribosomal RNA (420 nucleotides) under uncultured bacterium. RNAcentral's name for it is "bacterial SSU rRNA". It matches the Rfam family "Bacterial small subunit ribosomal RNA", at positions 356 to 773 of the family's 1533-position model. The record is from RNAcentral.
AAGGAAUAUUGGUCAAUGGACGGAAGUCUGAACCAGCCAAGUCGCGUGAAGGACGAAGGUAUUAUGUAUUGUAAACUUCUUUUGUAGGGGAAUAAAGUGAGGCUUGCGAGCCUUUUUGCAAGUACCCUGCGAAUAAGGAUCGGCUAACUCCGUGCCAGCAGCCGCGGUAAUACGGAGGAUCCGAGCGUUAUCCGGAUUUAUUGGGUUUAAAGGGUGCGUAGGCGGAGAUUUAAGUCAGUGGUGAAAGUUUAGGGCUCAACCUUAAAAUUGCCAUUGAAACUGGGUUUCUUGAGUACGGUGGAGGUAGGCGGAAUUUGUGGUGUAGCGGUGAAAUGCUUAGAUAUCACGAAGAACUCCGAUUGCGAAGGCAGCUUACCGGACCGUAACUGACGCUGAGGCACGAAAGUGUGGGGAUCAAAC